AGUGAACGCUGGCGGUAGGCCUAACACAUGCAAGUCGAGCGGCAGCACAGUAAGAGCUUGCUCUUACGGGUGGCGAGUGGCGGACGGGUGAGGAAUACAUCGGAAUCUACUUUUUCGUGGGGGAUAACGUAGGGAAACUUACGCUAAUACCGCAUACGACCUACGGAUGAAAGCAGGGGAUCUUCGGACCUUGCGCGAUUGAAUGAGCCGAUGUCGGAUUAGCUAGUUGGCGGGGUAAAGGCCCACCAAGGCGACGAUCCGUAGCUGGUCUGAGAGGAUGAUCAGCCACACUGGAACUGAGACACGGUCCAGACUCCUACGGGAGGCAGCAGUGGGGAAUAUUGGACAAUGGGCGCAAGCCUGAUCCAGCCAUACCGCGUGGGUGAAGAAGGCCUUCGGGUUGUAAAGCCCUUUUGUUGGGAAAGAAAAGCAGCAGGUUAAUACCCCGCUGUUCUGACGGUACCCAAAGAAUAAGCACCGGCUAACUUCGUG
RNAcentral lists this ribosomal RNA (492 nucleotides) under uncultured bacterium. Its description in RNAcentral is "partial 16S ribosomal RNA". It matches the Rfam family "Bacterial small subunit ribosomal RNA", at positions 29 to 507 of the family's 1533-position model. The record is from RNAcentral.